Molecule: ribosomal RNA, 990 nt
Filed under: Lederbergia lenta
Lineage: Bacteria; Bacillati; Bacillota; Bacilli; Caryophanales; Bacillaceae
Description: bacterial SSU rRNA
Rfam family: Bacterial small subunit ribosomal RNA
Source: RNAcentral
AGGGGGGUACGGUGUCGGAUUAUUGGGCGUAAGCGCGCGCAGGCGGUUUCUUAAGUCUGAUGUGAAAGCCCACGGCUCAACCGUGGAGGGUCAUUGGAAACUGGGGAACUUGAGUGCAGAAGAGAAGAGCGGAAUUCCACGUGUAGCGGUGAAAUGCGUAGAGAUGUGGAGGAACACCAGUGGCGAAGGCGGCUCUUUGGUCUGUAACUGACGCUGAGGCGCGAAAGCGUGGGGAGCAAACAGGAUUAGAUACCCUGGUAGUCCACGCCGUAAACGAUGAGUGCUAAGUGUUAGAGGGUUUCCGCCCUUUAGUGCUGCAGCAAACGCAUUAAGCACUCCGCCUGGGGAGUACGGCCGCAAGGCUGAAACUCAAAGGAAUUGACGGGGGCCCGCACAAGCGGUGGAGCAUGUGGUUUAAUUCGAAGCAACGCGAAGAACCUUACCAGGUCUUGACAUCCUCUGACAACCCUAGAGAUAGGGCCUUCCCCUUCGGGGGACAGAGUGACAGGUGGUGCAUGGUUGUCGUCAGCUCGUGUCGUGAGAUGUUGGGUUAAGUCCCGCAACGAGCGCAACCCUUGACCUUAGUUGCCAGCAUUCAGUUGGGCACUCUAAGGUGACUGCCGGUGACAAACCGGAGGAAGGUGGGGAUGACGUCAAAUCAUCAUGCCCCUUAUGACCUGGGCUACACACGUGCUACAAUGGAUGGUACAAAGGGUUGCGAGACCGCGAGGUUUAGCCAAUCCCAUAAAACCAUUCUCAGCUCGGAUUGCAGGCUGCAACUCGCCUGCAUGAAGCCGGAAUCGCUAGGAAUCGUGGAUUAGCAUGCCGCGGUGAAUACGAUCCCGGGACUUUGUACACACUGCCCGCUCACACCGCGAGAAUUCUGUAACGCCCUAAAUCAGUUGGGUCCUCUUCUCCCUGAGCCCUCCCUCCUACGGUCUGCUGUUCAAAUGGGGUCACUUAUAAAAAGGUGGAACGAGGAAUUUCAAA